This 486-nucleotide ribosomal RNA is filed under the name uncultured bacterium. Its description in RNAcentral is "bacterial SSU rRNA". It matches the Rfam family "Bacterial small subunit ribosomal RNA", at positions 28 to 517 of the family's 1533-position model. The record is from RNAcentral.
GAUGAACGCUAGCGGCAGGCUUAACACAUGCAAGUCGAGGGGUAUUGGUUUUCGGACCAAGAGACCGGCGCACGGGUGCGUAACGCGUAUGCAAUCUACCUUUUGCAGAGGGAUAGCCCCAGAGAAAUUUGGAUUAAUACCUCAUAGUAUAGUACUUUGGCAUCAAGGAACUAUUAAAGUCACAACGGCAAAGAUGAGCAUGCGUCCCAUUAGCUAGUUGGUAAGGUAACGGCUUACCAAGGCUACGAUGGGUAGGGGUCCUGAGAGGGAGAUCCCCCACACUGGUACUGAGACACGGACCAGACUCCUACGGGAGGCAGCAGUGAGGAAUAUUGGACAAUGGGCGCAAGCCUGAUCCAGCCAUGCCGCGUGCAGGAUGACGGUCCUAUGGAUUGAACUGCUUUUAUACAGGAAGAAACACUCCGACGUGUCGGAGCUUGACGGUACUGUAAGAAUAAGGAUCGGCUAACUCCGUGCCAGCAGCCG